AGAUUGAACGCUGGCGGCAGGCCUAACACAUGCAAGUCGAGCGGUAGAGAGGUGCUGACGAGUGGCGAACGGGUGAGUAAUGUAUCGGAACGUGCCCAGUCGUGGGGGAUAACGCAGCGAAAGCUGCGCUAAUACCGCAUACGAUCUAUGGAUGAAAGCGGGGGACCGUAAGGCCUCGCGCGAUUGGAGCGGCCGAUAUCAGAUUAGGUAGUUUGGUGGGGUAAAGGCGUCACCAAGCCAACGAUCUGUAGCUGGUCUGAGAGGACGACCAGCCACACUGGGACUGAGACACGGCCCAGACUCCUACGGGAGGCAGCAGUGGGGAAUUUUGGACAAUGGGCGCAAGCCUGAUCCAGCAAUGCCGCGUGCAGGAAGAAGGCCUUGGUUGUAAACUGCUUUUGUACGGAACGAAACGGUCUUGGUUAAUACCUGGGCUAAUGACGUACCGUAAGAAUAAGCACCGGACUAACUACGUGCCAGCAGCCGCGGUAAUCUA
RNAcentral lists this ribosomal RNA (496 nucleotides) under uncultured soil bacterium. RNAcentral's name for it is "bacterial SSU rRNA". It matches the Rfam family "Bacterial small subunit ribosomal RNA", at positions 26 to 527 of the family's 1533-position model. The record is from RNAcentral.